This 79-nucleotide transfer RNA is filed under the name Candidatus Omnitrophota bacterium. RNAcentral describes it as "tRNA-Asn". It matches the Rfam family "tRNA". Rfam says of the family: Transfer RNA (tRNA) molecules are approximately 80 nucleotides in length. Their secondary structure includes four short double-helical elements and three loops (D, anti-codon, and T loops). Lineage: Bacteria; Pseudomonadati; Candidatus Omnitrophota. The record is from RNAcentral.
UGACUCCUAGCUCAAUUUGGCAGUAAGCAUUUGAUUGUUAAUCAAAAGGUUCUGGGUUCAAGUCCCAGGGAGUCAGCCA